AGCAGCCGCGGUAAUUCCAGCUCCAAUAGCGUAUAUUAAAGUUGUUGCAGUUAAAAAGCUCGUAGUUGAAUUUCGGGAUCAAUACGUCGGUCGUGCUUCGGUACGUACUGGCGUCAUUGAUUUCUCCCUUCUGACGAACCAUGAUGUCAUUAACUUGGUGUCUUGGGAAAUCAGGACUGUUACUUUGAAAAAAUUAGAGUGUUUAAAGCAGGCUCACGCUUGAAUACAUUAGCAUGGAAUAAUGAAAUAGGACGUUCGAUCCUAUUUUGUUGGUUUUAGGAUCAACGUAAUGAUUAAUAGGGAUAGUUGGGGGCAUUAGUAUUCAAUUGUCAGAGGUGAAAUUCUUGGAUUUAUUGAAGACUAACUACUGCGAAAGCAUUUGCCAAGGAUGUUUUCAUUAAUCAAGAACGAAAGUUAGGGGAUCGAAGACGAUCAGAUACCGUCGUAGUCUUAACCAUAAACUAUGCCGACUAGGGAUCGGAUG
This 484-nucleotide ribosomal RNA is filed under the name uncultured Glomus. RNAcentral describes it as "SSU rRNA". It matches the Rfam family "Eukaryotic small subunit ribosomal RNA", at positions 569 to 1059 of the family's 1831-position model. Lineage: Eukaryota; Fungi; Glomeromycota; Glomeromycetes; Glomerales; Glomeraceae. The record is from RNAcentral.